RNAcentral lists this ribosomal RNA (721 nucleotides) under uncultured Bacteroidales bacterium. RNAcentral describes it as "bacterial SSU rRNA". It matches the Rfam family "Bacterial small subunit ribosomal RNA", at positions 28 to 739 of the family's 1533-position model. Lineage: Bacteria; Pseudomonadati; Bacteroidota; Bacteroidia; Bacteroidales. The record is from RNAcentral.
GAUGAACGCUAGCUAUAGGCUUAACACAUGCAAGUCGAGGGGCAUCAGGAAGAAAGCUUGCUUUCUUUGCUGGCGACCGGCGCACGGGUGAGUAACACGUAUCCAACCUGCCCUUUACUCGGGGAUAGCUUUUCGAAAGAAAGAUUAAUACCCGAUAGCAUAAUGAUUCCGCAUGGUUUCAUUAUUAAAGGAUUCCGGUAAAGGAUGGGGAUGCGUUCCAUUAGGUUGUUGGUGAGGUAACGGCCCACCAAGCCUUCGAUGGAUAGGGGUUCUGAGAGGAAGGUCCCCCACAUUGGAACUGAGACACGGUCCAAACUCCUACGGGAGGCAGCAGUGAGGAAUAUUGGUCAAUGGGCGCUAGCCUGAACCAGCCAAGUAGCGUGAAGGAUGAAGGCUCUAUGGGUCGUAAACUUCUUUUAUAUAAGAAUAAAGUGCAGUAUGUAUACUGUUUUGUAUGUAUUAUAUGAAUAAGGAUCGGCUAACUCCGUGCCAGCAGCCGCGGUAAUACGGAGGAUCCGAGCGUUAUCCGGAUUUAUUGGGUUUAAAGGGAGUGUAGGUGGACUGGUAAGUCAGUUGUGAAAGUUUGCGGCUCAACCGUAAAAUUGCAGUUGAUACUGUCAGUCUUGAGUACAGUAGAGGUGGGCGGAAUUCGUGGUGUAGCGGUGAAAUGCUUAGAUAUCACGAAGAACUCCGAUUGCGAAGGCAGCUCACUGGACUGCAA